GCGUGAGUGAUGAAGGCCUUAGGGUUGUAAAGCUCUUUCGCCGGGGAAGAUAAUGACGGUACCCGGAGAAGAAGCCCCGGCUAACUUCGUGCCAGCAGCCGCGGUAAUACGAAGGGGGCUAGCGUUGUUCGGAAUUACUGGGCGUAAAGCGCACGUAGGCGGGUCGUUAAGUCAGGGGUGAAAGCCCGGAGCUCAACUCCGGAAUUGCCCUUGAUACUGGCGACCUUGAGUCCGAGAGAGGUAAGUGGAACUCCGAGUGUAGAGGUGAAAUUCGU
Molecule: ribosomal RNA, 275 nt
Filed under: uncultured bacterium
Lineage: Bacteria
Description: partial 16S ribosomal RNA
Rfam family: Bacterial small subunit ribosomal RNA
Source: RNAcentral